UUUUUUUAUAAAUAUACUUUUUGUUUUUUUAUAAAAAUUGAUCUUAGUUUGAAACUAAGGGAGUAUACAUGAGAGAGCUUCCAGACUUAAAGUUCAUUCGGAUAGAAGAGUACAGACUGCGGCGGAGGAGAAAACAACUUUCAAUCCAGCUAUUACAUAUAGAUCGACUCCUCAAUUUUUCUCAAGGUUAAACUAUACGUUAUAUUGGAUAAGCAAAAGGAACUAAUAAACUCUAAUUUUCUGACGUCUCCGAUUCCUAUGUGUGCCUACACACACAAAGAAAAUGGACGAAUUUAUGGAUGACAUGCAAAGAAUGCUGAAUGAUUAGACAUUUCCUAUCACAACUAGUUGGCCUGAAGCUCUGAAGGUGCAGUUUGUUUCUGCUCUAGCUAGCUUAUUUCUUGGUUGAUGGAGUCAUGGAAGAGAGGUUCAGAGAACUUCAGACAUCGGCUCAUUGAUCUGCACUCCUCUCGUUGGCAUUCUACCGCCUAACAUAUCAUGGAUGAUGAUGUAAUUGGCCAUGUGUUC
This 528-nucleotide long non-coding RNA is filed under the name Oryza brachyantha (malo sina). RNAcentral's name for it is "long non-coding RNA (OBRA_LNC000019)". The record is from RNAcentral. Lineage: Eukaryota; Viridiplantae; Streptophyta; Magnoliopsida; Poales; Poaceae.